This 30-nucleotide non-coding RNA is filed under the name Rattus norvegicus (Norway rat). Lineage: Eukaryota; Metazoa; Chordata; Mammalia; Rodentia; Muridae. The record is from RNAcentral.
UAGGCAUCCCUGGCUAGAUUGGCAUUCUCA